UGGGGAAUAUUGGACAAUGGAGGAAACCCUGAUCCAGCAAUGCCGCGUGAGUGAAGAAGGCCUUAGGGUUGUAAAGCUCUUUCGCCCGCGAAGAUAAUGACGGUAGCGGGAGAAGAAGCCCCGGCUAACUCCGUGCCAGCAGCCGCGGUAAUACGGAGGGGCUAGCGUUGUUCGGACUUACUGGGCGUAAAGCGUACGUAGGCGGAUGCGCAAGUUGGGGGUGAAAUCCCGGGGCUUAACCUCGGAAUUGCCCUCAAAACUGCACGUCUUGAGACCGAGAGAGGUAAGGGGAAUUCCUAGUGUAGAGGUGAAAUUCGUAGAUAUUAGGAAGAACACCAGUGGCGAAGGCGCCUUACUGGCUCGGUACUGACGCUGAGGUACGAAAGCGUGGGGAGCAAACA
RNAcentral lists this ribosomal RNA (401 nucleotides) under uncultured bacterium. Its description in RNAcentral is "bacterial SSU rRNA". It matches the Rfam family "Bacterial small subunit ribosomal RNA", at positions 355 to 774 of the family's 1533-position model. The record is from RNAcentral.